AGCAGGUCGCUGCAAUGUUGGGCGCGAUGCAGCGCCAGGAGGCCCGAUUUGAGCAGCUCCAGGAAGUUGUGGAGCGGCAAGCGGCAGCGGCGGCGGCCGCAACAGCGGCAGGAGAUCGCGAUCCGCCCGCACCUUCGGCACGCACGCCGGUAGCAGCCGAGGGUGAGGGCAUAGCGGCGGUUCCGAUGGCGGCAGUUCCCCCGCCGGCAAGUGCACCUCC
Molecule: long non-coding RNA, 220 nt
Filed under: Ananas comosus (pineapple)
Lineage: Eukaryota; Viridiplantae; Streptophyta; Magnoliopsida; Poales; Bromeliaceae
Description: long non-coding RNA (ACOM_LNC039753)
Source: RNAcentral